CCGGCCCCGCCCCCCUACCAGGGGACGUGGCGCCCGCCGGAGGAUACCUAACUCUAUUUUAACGACGUUUCUUCUGAGUGGCACAAGCAAAUAAUUAAAACUUUUAACAACGGAUCUCUUGGUUCUGGCAUCGAUGAAGAACGCAGCGAAAUGCGAUAAGUAAUGUGAAUUGCAGAAUUCAGUGAAUCAUCGAAUCUUUGAACGCACAUUGCGCCCGCCAGCAUUCUGGCGGGCAUGCCUGUUCGAGCGUCAUUUCAACCCUCAAGCUCUGCUUGGUGUUGGGGCCCUACGGUUGACGUAGGCCCUCAAAGGUAGUGGCGGACCCUCCCGGAGCCUCCUUUGCGUAGUAACUAACGUCUCGCAUCGGGAUCCGGAGGGACUCUUGCCGUAAAACCCCCCAAUUUUUCAAUGGUUGACCUCGGAUCAGGUAGGAAUACCCGCUGAACUUAAGCAUAUCAAAUAAGCGGCAGGAAUACUGGGGGCAAUCCCUUGUUACGACUUUUACUUC
This 508-nucleotide unclassified non-coding RNA is filed under the name Colletotrichum sp. N30. RNAcentral describes it as "Glomerella sp. N30 sequence contains ITS1, 5.8S rRNA gene, ITS2". The stretch from base 99 to 252 matches the Rfam family "5.8S ribosomal RNA". The record is from RNAcentral. Lineage: Eukaryota; Fungi; Ascomycota; Sordariomycetes; Glomerellales; Glomerellaceae.